GGUUAUAUGUCGUCUAUAACCGGCCAAUGGCAUUUAUGUUCGCUGCUAUAGAAAAAGAAAAAGAAGUAUACAUAGUGGAAGUGUGUUAAAAGAAAACAUAAAAAUGCCUAAAUGUAUUGCAAAAAAUUGUAAGAGUACAUCAACCAAGGGAAUUAAAAUGUGUUCUUUUCCACAAGAAAGGGAAAUGCAAAUGUUGUGGAUAAGAAAUAUAGGUCGAAGUAACUGGCAGCCGAGAAAGGAUUCACGUUUGUGUGAGUUUCAUUUUGCUGAUGAUCAGUGGGAAACAAUGAGAGUCGAUGGCAAAAAAAAGUUAAAAUGAAAAGCUGUACGAACACUAUUUGGGGAAGAUACUCAAAUUCGAAUAGAUGUAAUAAAAAAAAUGUCAGCAAGAACUAUCUAUCGAGGAAAAGAGUUUAUCAACAAGUGUAAAUCAAGGGAAUACAAAUACAAACGAAAUAUUGGAAUCAACAAUAGAUACAACAAAGAUAUCGGAGCAAAAUAACAGUAUGAAACAAGAAGAUGAAAAUAUACAAACUGAAAUUGAGACUGAAAUUCAAUCUACUCAACCGUUGACGUUAAGUAAUUCCAAAACAAUUCCAAAAUAUGAAAAAAGAUUAGAAAAAUUAGAAAAACGUUUAUUUCAAAGUGAAAAAAGCAAAGAAGAAAUGAUGAAACAAUUGCAGGACUUGAAAAUUAAGUUGAAGAAACUACAGCAGGAAGAAAUAGAAUGGAGUAACUUACAGGAAAAAAUUUCUGACAGCUACAAAUAUUGUCGGAGAAGGUUUAAGAUACGGUACGACAGCAAAAGAAAAAAAAUUUUUUUUAUUAUAUUUUAUGACGUUUUCUUGACGUUUCCAAUAUCAAGACGAUGUCAUUAAGUUAUUACUUUACUAUUUGUGAAAUUAUAUUAUGAUCAUGUACGAAUAAUAUUUUUUUAUAUAUAA
Long non-coding RNA from Harpegnathos saltator (Jerdon's jumping ant), 944 nucleotides. RefSeq lists it as uncharacterized. Lineage: Eukaryota; Metazoa; Arthropoda; Insecta; Hymenoptera; Formicidae. The transcript has 5 exons. The record is from RefSeq and is a predicted model, not a curated record.